This 694-nucleotide long non-coding RNA is filed under the name Elaeis guineensis (African oil palm). Its description in RNAcentral is "long non-coding RNA (EGUI_LNC015326)". The record is from RNAcentral. Lineage: Eukaryota; Viridiplantae; Streptophyta; Magnoliopsida; Arecales; Arecaceae.
GACUUUGUUGCCUGCAUUUCCCUGGAGCAGUCCCCAUCCGCUUAUGAAACUAGUCUGGUGUUAUGAUGGCAGAGUCCCCAUCCGCUUAUGAAACUAGUCUGGUGUUAUGAUGGCAGAUGGCAGGAAAACCUGACAAAAAUUUAUUUACAUCAAUAAGUUGUUUAGUCCAAUCAUGGUGGUUGUUUAUACUGGAAAUAGCUUGUGCAAAUCGGAAUCACGUCUUCUCAUCACACGCCCCAGGUGCUGUUUGAAUGCAUGCAAGCACGUGAACAUCACAUGCAAGCACGUGAACACAAAUGAAAACGGAUGCCUGAGGUUGACUUCAGAUUGUGAGAUGCUUGCUGUAUGAGAUUUGAUGUCUGCAUUGUUGCUGUGCAGCACCCAUGCAUAAUAUUCGAUGACAAUGCUUGCAUUUGACAAAAUUUUCAAGUGUGGCAAAUCUGCCAGAUAGGACGCAAAUGCUUCCAUACAUGAUAAUGACGGGCACCAGCUAAACAAAAUAAUUAAUUUUAUGUAGAUCUGAUGGCAUUAUGUAAAAUAACAGAAGAUCCUAUAUUUCCACGUCAUGUACAUGGAAAACAAAUUUAAAAGUGUGUAAGUGGAAAACAAAUUUAAAAGUGUGAAGUUAGAGGAUUAAUGGUGGGACUGUCGUAUGGUCUCUCUGUAUAUAUAUAGCGUACAUGUGAGAUACAAC